GCCACACCAAUGUUUAAGAUGUAAUUUGAUCGAGAAGAGCAUUUUGGGAUCUGAUCAUGCUGCUCAGGCUUGAUCAACGCUGGCUGUUGCACAGUUAAGGGUGUCUAUGUUGUGCUGUAUUGCUCAGAUAAUGUUUUGAGAUUACACUUUAUUUGCACUACACUCAGUGCAAGUAACCAACAGCAACAGCAGCAAAAAUGAAAAGAAGAAGAAGAGCCUAACAGAUGCAUGAAUUAACAUUACAGGCAACUUAUUAGUGUCAAGAAACAUCCAAUGACCUCAGGUUAUAUCACAGAUAAUGUGCUCCAGUGGCUCUUAAGUGUGAGAUUUGUUAGAUAACUAAUUGUGUUGUGAUGUGCAACUUGCUAAUGUAAUUGCAUUUCUGUGAUGUAUUAUCAUAUACUUUGUUUAUGAAGUAAACUGUAAUGGUACACUGUUUGAAAAGGUACUUCAUAAAAUCAACAUUCAUUUUCCAGAAAUUACAUAAAAGAUUUCUUGUUUUUUUAUUUUUUGCUCAAAUGCCAGUCUUUCAAUUACUCACCACACAAAAACAAGGCAAAUAGUUAUCCUUCUCAUUACUGCUGUGCGUACUAAGUCUAGUGUAGUAUAUGAACCUUUCAGAUUUGUCAUUUCACUGUGCAUGGCAGAUUUCAGCACCUCGGUGUUGAUUUUCUUGCAUGCCUCUGUUUUGCCGUUAAGUCUUGCUACUUUUUUCAGGUGUGUAACAGCCAAAUCAGUUUUGUGGUUGAGUACCAGCCAGCGUGCCGACUCAGGAAACCACC
Long non-coding RNA from Erpetoichthys calabaricus (reedfish), 782 nucleotides. RefSeq lists it as uncharacterized. The record is from RefSeq and is a predicted model, not a curated record. Lineage: Eukaryota; Metazoa; Chordata; Cladistia; Polypteriformes; Polypteridae. The transcript has 2 exons.